GACGAACGCUGGCGGCGUGCUUAACACAUGCAAGUCGAACGGAAAGGCCCUGCUUUUGUGGGGUGCUCGAGUGGCGAACGGGUGCGUAACACGUGAGUAACCUGCCCUUGACUUUGGGAUAACUUCAGGAAACUGGGGCUAAUACAGGAUAGGAGCUCCUGCUGCAUGGUGGGGGUUGGAACGUUUCGGCGGUUGGGGAUGGACUCGCGGCUUAUCAGCUUGUUAGUUGGGUAGUGGCUUACCAAGGCUUUGACGGGUAGCCGGCCUGGGAGGGUGACCGGCCACAUUGGUCCUGCGGGACGGCCCAGUCGCCAACGGGAGGCAGCAGGGGGGAAUAUUGCACAAUGGGCGGAAGCCUGAUGCAGCAACGCCGCGUGCGGGAUGACGGCUUUCGGGGUGUAAACCGCUUUCGCCUGUGACGAAGCGUGAGUGACGGUAAUGGGUAAAGAAGCACCGGCUAACUACGUG
This 468-nucleotide ribosomal RNA is filed under the name uncultured bacterium. RNAcentral's name for it is "partial 16S ribosomal RNA". It matches the Rfam family "Bacterial small subunit ribosomal RNA", at positions 28 to 507 of the family's 1533-position model. The record is from RNAcentral.